Molecule: ribosomal RNA, 1071 nt
Filed under: uncultured Caryophanales bacterium
Lineage: Bacteria; Bacillati; Bacillota; Bacilli; Caryophanales
Description: bacterial SSU rRNA
Rfam family: Bacterial small subunit ribosomal RNA
Source: RNAcentral
CUCCUACGGGAGGCAGCAGUAGGGAAUCUUCCGCAAUGGACGAAAGUCUGACGGAGCAACGCCGCGUGAGUGAUGAAGGCUUUCGGGUCGUAAAACUCUGUUGUUAGGGAAGAACAAGUGCUAGUUGAAUAAGCUGGCACCUUGACGGUACCUAACCAGAAAGCCACGGCUAACUACGUGCCAGCAGCCGCGGUAAUACGUAGGUGGCAAGCGUUAUCCGGAAUUAUUGGGCGUAAAGCGCGCGCAGGUGGUUUCUUAAGUCUGAUGUGAAAGCCCACGGCUCAACCGUGGAGGGUCAUUGGAAACUGGGAGACUUGAGUGCAGAAGAGGAAAGUGGAAUUCCAUGUGUAGCGGUGAAAUGCGUAGAGAUAUGGAGGAACACCAGUGGCGAAGGCGACUUUCUGGUCUGUAACUGACACUGAGGCGCGAAAGCGUGGGGAGCAAACAGGAUUAGAUACCCUGGUAGUCCACGCCGUAAACGAUGAGUGCUAAGUGUUAGAGGGUUUCCGCCCUUUAGUGCUGAAGUUAACGCAUUAAGCACUCCGCCUGGGGAGUACGGCCGCAAGGCUGAAACUCAAAGGAAUUGACGGGGCCCCGCACAAGCGGCGGAGCAUGCGGAUUAAUUCGAUGCAACGCGUAGAACCUUACCUGGGUUUGACAUGGAUCGGGAGCGCUCAGAGAUGGGUGUGCCUCUUUUGGGGUCGGUUCACAGGUGGUGCAUGGCUGUCGUCAGCUCGUGUCGUGAGAUGUUGGGUUAAGUCCCGCAACGAGCGCAACCCUUGUUCACUGUUGCCAGCACGUUAUGGUGGGGACUCAGUGGAGACCGCCGGAGUCAACUCGGAGGAAGGUGGGGAUGACGUCAAGUCAUCAUGCCCCUUAUGUCCAGGGCUUCACGCAUGCUACAAUGGCGGUGACAGUGGGCAGCAAACUCGCGAGAGUGCGCUAAUCUCCAAAAGCCGUCUCAGUUCGGAUUGUUCUCUGCAACUCGAGAGCAUGAAGGCGGAAUCGCUAGUAAUCGCGGAUCAGCAUGCCGCGGUGAAUACGUUCCCAGGCCUUGUACACACCGCCCGU